AGAGUUUGAUCCUGGCUCAGAUUGAACGCUGGCGGCAUGCUUUACACAUGCAAGUCGAACGGGGUUAAGGGGCUUGCUCCUUAAUCUAGUGGCGAACGGGUGAGUAAUGCAUCGGAACGUACCCGGGAGUGGGGGAUAACGCACCGAAAGGUGUGCUAAUACCGCAUAUUCUGUGAGCAGGAAAGCAGGGGACCUUAGGGCCUUGUGCUUCCGGAGCGGCCGAUGUCGGAUUAGCUAGUUGGUGAGGUAAAGGCUCACCAAGGCGACGAUCCGUAGCGGGUCUGAGAGGAUGAUCCGCCACACUGGGACUGAGACACGGCCCAGACUCCUACGGGAGGCAGCAGUGGGGAAUUUUGGACAAUGGGCGCAAGCCUGAUCCAGCCAUGCCGCGUGUCUGAAGAAGGCCUUCGGGUUGUAAAGGACUUUUGUCAGGAAGGAAAACCUAUUGGCUAAUAUCCAGUGGGGAUGACAGUACCUGAAGAAUAAGCACCGGCUAACUACGUGCCAG
This 508-nucleotide ribosomal RNA is filed under the name uncultured Chitinivorax sp. RNAcentral's name for it is "bacterial SSU rRNA". It matches the Rfam family "Bacterial small subunit ribosomal RNA", at positions 8 to 511 of the family's 1533-position model. The record is from RNAcentral. Lineage: Bacteria; Pseudomonadati; Pseudomonadota; Betaproteobacteria.